GGAAGGAUCAUUACUGAACAACGCGCGCGCCUCUGGCGGGUGCGUGUGCACACCCAUUCACGAGGGUUGUGUUUGUCCACCUCUUGUGCCUCCUUGUGGUGGACCAUGCUCCGGAUGCUGUUCCGCGUCACCUGGCGGCCUGUUGCCGCUGGGAGGGCUGGUCUACUGUGCCUCUCACCAAACAAACCUGUCGUCCUAUUAUGAUGGUUGGCAUCCUUUCAUCGGUUGCCCUUGUAUAAUAAAUAUAACUUUCAACAACGGAUCUCUUGGCUCUCGCAUCGAUGAAGAACGCAGCGAAAUGCGAUAAGUAAUGUGAAUUGCAGAAUUCAGUGAAUCAUCGAAUCUUUGAACGCACCUUGCGCUCCUCGGCAUUCCGAGGAGCAUGCCUGUUUGAGUGUCGUUGAAUUCUCAAACCAGUUCCCGCUUGUUGGUGGGAUUGGGUUUGGAUCGGUGGAGGAUGCAUUGGCCACCCCAACCAGGGUGAGUUUCCCUUUGCUCCUCUGAAAUGGAUUGGCGUUUGAAGUGUCGUGACUUCCUCAGAACCCUCCCGAUCUUUCUUCGGGGAAGGAGGUAGUAAGACGCAGGGCACUGGUCUUCUGCCGUCCGGAAAGUGGGUUUGGACUCGGUGGUCCAGGUCUGGCGGGUGGUUUCGUGGUGGUGAAUCAAUCACUCACUCCCUUGAAGCCAUCUGCUCCUCCGAAAUGCAGUGGUCACGACACAGGCGCGCACCCGUUGUCGGUAUGAUACGUCUUACCUGCUUUCAAUGGGUGCUGCACCGCACACUCUCUCACGAUUUGACCUCAAAUCAGGCAGGACUACCCGCUGAACUUAAGCAUAUCAAUAAGCGGAGGAAAAGAAACUAACGAGGAUUCCCCUAGUAACUGCGAGUGAAGCGGGAAAAGCUCAAAUUUAAAAUCUGGUGGCCCUCUGGCCAUCCGAGUUGUAAGCUAGAGAAGCGCCGUCCGCGCUGGGGCCAUGUACAAGUCUCCUGGAACGGAGCGUCAUAGAGGGUGAGAAUCCCGUCUCUGACAUGGACCUCCCGGGGCACCGCGAUCGCGCUCUCAAAGAGUCGAGUUGUUUGGGAAUGCAGCUCCAAACGGGUGGUAAACUCCAUCUAAAGCUAAACAUUGGCGAGAGACCGAUAGCGAACAAGUACCGUGAGGGAAAGAUGAAAAGAACUUUGGAAAGAGAGUUAAACAGUACGUGAAAUUGUUGAAAGGGAAACGCUUGAAGUCAGUCGCGUCGGCUUGGGGUCAGCCUCGCAGCUGCGAGGUGCACUCCCCGGUCGACGGGUCAGCACCAGUUUCGACCGUUGGAGAAAGGUCGGGGGAAUGUGGCAUCCUCGGAUGUGUUUAUAGCCCUCGAUCGCAUGCAUCGGUUGGGAUUGAGGAACUCAGCGCACCGCAAGGCCGGGUUUCAAACCACGUCUGCGCUCAGGAUGCUGGCACAAUGGCUUUAAUCGACCCGUCUUGAAACACGGACCAAGGAGUCUAACAUGCCUGCGAGUGUUUGGGUGGAAAACCCAUGCGCGUAAUGAAAGUGAAAGUUGAGAUCUCCGUCGUGGAGAGCAUCGACGCCCGGACCAGACCUUCUGUGACGGAUCCGCGGUAGAGCAUGCACGUUGGGACCCGAAAGAUGGUGAACUAUGCCUGAAUAGGGUGAAGCCAGAGGAAACUCUGGUGGAGGCUCGUAGCGAUUCUGACGUGCAAAUCGAUCGUCGAAUUUGGGUAUAGGGGCGAAAGACUAAUCGAACCAUCUAGUAGCUGGUUCCUGC
This 1774-nucleotide unclassified non-coding RNA is filed under the name uncultured fungus. RNAcentral describes it as "sequence contains 18S rRNA gene, ITS1, 5.8S rRNA gene, ITS2, 28S rRNA gene". The stretch from base 796 to 1774 matches the Rfam family "Eukaryotic large subunit ribosomal RNA", at positions 1 to 961 of the family's 3401-position model. The record is from RNAcentral. Lineage: Eukaryota; Fungi.